GACCCCUUUAAAUUAAACUUUCGAUAGUUUAGUUAUGUGAUAUUUCGGUUUUACGUUGGACUUAUGUGAAAACAAAACAUUUGACUCUCUCAAUCUCAGGUACAGAAUGAUCCAUCAAAACCGACUCCAUAACUUCACAUUUUCAAGUUGAAAUGUGUUUAGAGCUCUAAAACGCUAUCAAGCACUACUGUUUGCAGACCAUAUUUAGGAUCCCAAGUUGGGAGCAAUAAAAGCAGUUUCAGUCUAAGAAGCUUAUAGCUUGAUCCUCAUUACAGUAUAAAGCACACGGAAACAUACUGAUCAGCUGUGAAGUGUCAUGUUCCUGUUCCAGGAAGUCUGCGGCAGACGCUAUGUACACUGACUCUACGAAUUCACUGGCUGACUUUCCCUCCGUCUGUGCCAGACCGGCCGGCCAGUCCCAGGUCACGCGGUUGAAACUUGAUACUUAUUUUGAAUAAAAACUCGGAGAAAUAAAUAAUCUAAAUUGGAACGGUUUGAGAUUUAGACCCACAAUCUGAAGAAUAUCUGGCCUCAGAGUACUUCCAACUAGCUCAUCUGUCUGUCAAAGAGAAACCAGCUAAAGUCAGGAUUUACAGAGGCCAUGCUAAGGUUGUCUCCAUUAGCUCCAUUGGCAAGAUUAAAAGUGACCGGAUGUAGCUCAGAGCAGAAAGAGCCCAACAAUUCCGCUUAAGUGUGAUAAUGUCACUGUAGUUUCCUUAUUUAGGGUUCUGUUUACCAGACACUGAUCAGACGUGUUGCUUGGCAAUGUUUAGUGAAUGCACAACUUAGGGCUACAGGAUUAUUCAAAAUAAAUCCGGAAUUGCUUCGUGUGAUAAUCAAAUCACAAAGGCUGCAAUUUAAAUAAAUAUAUGCACUGCGUGUUUCAGAGUAAAGCGCGGCAUUGUGUUAAUUUAUGCCUGAGCAGCUCAUUAUCCGUAGUUCUUUUCAGCAUCUCAGAGCAGCUCAGUUCACAGUAAAUGCUGCUCCACACAGACUCCAUCUCUGCAUCUGCUCUGAGUUUGGGUUGCUGUAACAUGCAAUAACCAUCUUUCCAGACUUGUAAAUAGAAAUGCUUUUAAACAAAAGAGAAUCCUUAAAGACUCCCUGCGGUUUUCAGUCGAAAUAAAAGUUUGAUUGUUUAACAUCUGAAAAUGAAGACACUAAAAGCAACUAUUUAUGCAACUAAAGCAAUUACUAUU
Long non-coding RNA from Sinocyclocheilus anshuiensis, 1199 nucleotides. RefSeq lists it as uncharacterized. Lineage: Eukaryota; Metazoa; Chordata; Actinopteri; Cypriniformes; Cyprinidae. The transcript has 3 exons. The record is from RefSeq and is a predicted model, not a curated record.